This 288-nucleotide ribosomal RNA is filed under the name uncultured bacterium. RNAcentral describes it as "partial 16S ribosomal RNA". It matches the Rfam family "Bacterial small subunit ribosomal RNA", at positions 335 to 617 of the family's 1533-position model. The record is from RNAcentral.
AACCUCGGGGCGCAGCAGUGGGGAAUAUUGCGCAAUGGGCGAAAGCCUGACGCAGCGACGCCGCGUGAGGGAUGAAGGUCUUCGGAUCGUAAACCUCUGUCAGCAGGGAAGAACGGUCACUGUGCUAAUCAGCAGUGAAUUGACGGUACCUGCAAAGGAAGCACCGGCUAACUCCGUGCCAGCAGACGCGGUAAUACGGAGGGUGCGAGCGUUAAUCGGAAUUACUGGGCGUAAAGCGCUCGGAGGCGAUAUGUCAAGUCAAGGGGGAAAUCCCCGCGGUCAAAGAGG